RNAcentral lists this ribosomal RNA (250 nucleotides) under uncultured prokaryote. Its description in RNAcentral is "partial 16S ribosomal RNA". It matches the Rfam family "Bacterial small subunit ribosomal RNA", at positions 524 to 773 of the family's 1533-position model. The record is from RNAcentral.
UACGUAUGGAGCAAGCGUUAUCCGGAUUUACUGGGUGUAAAGGGAGCGUAGACGGUUAGCCAAGUCUGAUGUGAAAGGUGUGGGCUCAACCCGCAAACUGCAUUGGAAACUGGUCAGCUUGAGUGUCGGAGAGGUAAGUGGAAUUCCUAGUGUAGCGGUGAAAUGCGUAGAUAUUAGGAGGAACACCAGCGGCGAAGGCGGCUUACUGGACGAUAACUGACGCUGAGGCGCGAAGGCGCGGGGAGCAAAC